RNAcentral lists this ribosomal RNA (482 nucleotides) under uncultured bacterium. RNAcentral's name for it is "partial 16S ribosomal RNA". It matches the Rfam family "Bacterial small subunit ribosomal RNA", at positions 30 to 507 of the family's 1533-position model. The record is from RNAcentral.
AUUGAACGCUGGCGGCAUGCUUUACACAUGCAAGUCGAACGGUAACAGGCCGCAAGGUGCUGACGAGUGGCGAACGGGUGAGUAAUGCGUCGGAACGUGCCCAGUCGUGGGGGAUAACUACUCGAAAGAGUAGCUAAUACCGCAUACGAUCUAUGGAUGAAAGCGGGGGACCGUAAGGCCUCGCGCGAUUGGAGCGGCCGAUGUCAGAUUAGGUAGUUGGUGGGGUAAAGGCUCACCAAGCCAACGAUCUGUAGCUGGUCUGAGAGGACGACCAGCCACACUGGGACUGAGACACGGCCCAGACUCCUACGGGAGGCAGCAGUGGGGAAUUUUGGACAAUGGGCGCAAGCCUGAUCCAGCAAUGCCGCGUGCAGGAAGAAGGCCUUCGGGUUGUAAACUGCUUUUGUACGGAACGAAACGGCUCUGGUUAAUACCCGGGGCUAAUGACGGUACCGUAAGAAUAAGCACCGGCUAACUACGUG